GGUGCUAAAAUAGAGAAAAAAAAUCAUUUUUAGAUCUGCUUAGAGGCUAUAAUACCUAGUAACAUAAAGUUCUCCUAGUAAAUUGAAAUAGAAAAAGAGAAAGUACCAAAAACUAAUAUGAAUCCAUUAUUGACCCAAAUAGCAACAAGUCACCACAUACAAAUACUGCACAAAGAAAACUUAGUGACACUGGUUAUUUUUGAGUCUCUUUGAAAGAGUAAUGAUAAAUAUUAAUUUUACACCAGACAGUUAGUGUAUUUUAGUUAAACCAAUAGUAACUUUUGCUAGGGUGUGGUUCCUUUCCUUCUUCUUCUUUUUUUUUUUUUUGCCUAAUUUCAAAUCGUUAGGGGCUGGUUUUCUAUUCUUUGGCAUUAAAGAUCAGAAACACCAAUUGUAGCUUUAAAGAGAAGAUGAAUCCAAUUUUAACAGAUGCCCAGUUCAGAAAAUAUCAAAAGCAACGCUUUACAAAAGAGUAUUAAACACAGAGACAAAAACUAUGUAGGACAUUGCCAAUGUAUCAGGUGACAAUGGGACUAAAUCACACUCAUUUUUGGUUUAACAGCUGUUAAAGAAGUCGAGACUGGGGUCUAGGCGCAGCUGCUCCUAUCCACAGUGCUCCUCUGCACUGGCCUCAGAACAGUGGCCCACAUUCCUAGAAUGAGAAAAUGGCAUCUUCUUCAGAGGACAGAGCUUGCAAUGACCUAAAAGAGACUUACUCUUUUAGGCCCUUCAGCAUUUUUCCGUCUUAAAAGUGAGAGAGCAUACUUUUUGGUCAUGUCACACUCCCAGUGAGGCUUUCUGGGCCUCCCUUUCACUGUUUCCUCCCCCUCUUCCUGCUGGCAGAGGUGUGGAUUGUGGAAAGCCUGAUGCCCAGGCUGCCUGGCUACAGGGUGACAAUUCCGCCCAGUGUCUGGCUGCUGUCAAUGUGCCUGAUGUCGAGACUUCUCUGGAUCUUCCGUGGACAAUGUUCUGAGAACCCCUUGUUAGGGUGAGACCUCGAGGCGCUGUCUUGCCUCAUGAUAUUAAAAAAAGACAUGAUGCAGCUAGUGUGGAGUUUUAUUGGCUACAAAAUAGAUGCACAAUGAUGAGAAUCUGAAGGCUACAGUAGGAAAGGAGAGCUUUAACUCAUACACUCACACUGAUUCGAAAAGUGCAAUAUAUUAAGAGCAUGAUAAGAAAUCUGGUGAGAUCGUUACAGAGGAAAAAAAUAAAAGUUUCUGACUCUGAUAACUCCAAGGAUAUCUUUGAGAACUCACUCAUUAGUGUCUGGGCGAGGACUUUCCUUGGGGGAAAAUAGAUUUUACAACAGGCAGAAAUGUUUAUUGGUCUCAUGCUUGCUUUUGGAUCUCAUUCACUUGACAAAGAACUAAUCUUCCAUUGACGGUCUCCUGUGUUAUGGUCUUGAUCUUUCGAGUUGCAGACGCUGAGAAAAAGAGUACGGAAGACGUCACUGCCAUGCCUCCUCCACCAUCUGAACUGUACUCAUUUCCAGUUCCCUGCCGUCAGCCCCUGAAGGCUCUUGGCGCCUUCCAAAAUGAUCACUAAGCAAUAUGGCGGGCUCUGCUGCAGGGAAAAGGGAUUUCCUCAAGGAGGGAUUUUCUCCCACUCUCCAGGAGAUGAGGAUCUCUGAACAGUGUCACCUUCUGGAGGUGAAGACCUUCAUCAUAGGUGUGCUUCAUGUGGAACCUAGUCUCUGACCACAAGCACUUGGGGAAUUCUUUCUCUGCAUGUGGGCUUUGUAGUGCUGCACAGAUUCCUUGAGCUUACAGAGCACUCAGGGCCAUUGGAGGUACCUCAUUUUAAGGUCUAGAAAGCAUGCCACAUGAGGGCUGGGUGAGAAGCCAGGGAUGCUUACCAUGGCUGUUUUCAAAUAUAUAACUUACUUGAAUAAAUGCCUGUUGAAACAUCAAUAAACCAAUUCUAUUCCACAGGGAAGAACUGAAAUCAUUAAUAAAAUUACAAGGGAGAAUUUUGUUAAAAUAAAACCUCUCCAAUGGGUCUGUACCAUCAAGUAUGGGUUUCUCAUCCUAGGACAUGUGUGAAGAGAGGCUCAAAGACCCUUGUCUUAUUUUGUAGAGGGGUGGAAGUUAGAUCAGCUGUUCUGUGACGAUUACUUCAACUUUGAAUCUCCAAUGCCUUAGUGUAGAUAUAUCAUAAACUAAUCAGAAAGUGCCACUUGUCCCAGACUAUGGUCUCCUGGAACUUUUCUGUGAGCAAUUAAAGGUGAUCUGAGAAAGUAUGUUUCCAGGUCAAAGAUAUUUGGGAAUACUGGGCUAAACAAAGUUAAACUUCUGUUGUUUCUUCCUCUUUCUUGUUCCUUUUCUCCUUCAAAGCAGUACCUGUUCCAUCUUUAACGUACUGAAAUGCAACAGGACUGUUCAAGAAGAGGUUAAUGGCACACAGUAUUUCUAACCUCAUCUGGUCAUAGACACAUCAUCCAUAAUACACCAUUCAGAUCUCAUGGAACACGAGUGUUCAACAGAAUAAUCUGAGAAAUGACAUGAAAUCAUUGCCUGUCAAUUUUCUAGGAGUUUAGUAAACAGACACCAUUACUUAAUAGAGACAUAAUACUAUGAAUUAGCAUUUUAAUCUUCUUUAUUCCUUGCCUUUAUAUAUAUUGAGGAAAAUAUAUAUAAAUUGAGGAAAUUUUAUAUAUAUUGAGGAAAAUUUUCAAUUAACAAAUUAAGUAAUACAAAAUGAAGGAAGCUCUCAUUCAUUUUGUAUUACUUAAUUUGUUAAUUGAAAAUUCCUGACUGUUGGGAAGUGAAAUAAAUUUUGAACCCAGGACAUUUGGGAGUAUGCUCAGGAUUAUGACUACUACGGAAUGGAUAACCAUGCUAAUUCCUUAAAAAUAGAGAUUCAAACAAUUAAAGAAUUUUUUUUUUUACCUUUCAUGCUCGACUUUGAUUCUUCCAUUGUCCUAUAAAAGUGAUAAAGGUUAAAACUCACUUUAGUACCAGCAACAAUCAUAAAAACUUCUCAGAAUGAACUAACUUCCUUCAGUUGCUUGUAAAUCCUCAGCUCUUUAAUGAGGAUAAUUGUCUGAGCUUAGUAGUCUCAAGGUCAUGAGUUCAUGGGAGAACCCAUCUGGAUGCAGAAGGCAUUGGGUACUGCCUUCUACUAACCCUGGAGUUAGGGAAUGUCCACCAACCAUCCAUUCUGUUCAGCCAGCUGCAAGCUUGGUUUCCUCCAGAAUCCCUGCCAGGGUCUGAGUCUUCAGCCUGAGAACCCUGAGCUUCUCAGACUGUUCAAAGUUUGGUCUGGCGAUGUUUAAUUUAUAUAUUUUUUAUAAAACUUCAAUUACUUCCUUUUGGGUCAUAGAAUAUAUAUGUCAGCUGUUGUUAUUUCCUGGGGUGGCCAGAAAUAUUAGAUUGAAAGUCUGGACAUCUCAAUCUUGUAUGCACAGUUUUUUUUUGGCUGGUGGACUAACACAUUCCCCCUGGCUUUUUUUUUUUGGAACCAAAAUUGUGUGCAUUCCCACUGGGAAACACCAUGGCCAAAAUCUUUUUAAUUGUUUUCUGCUAGAGACCUUAGCUUUUCUGAUUGCAAAUCUUAGUGUCCUGUGAGUAUUAGUUGAUUAAUUACGCUUGGUGCUUAGUGAAAUACAACUGGCUAUAGGUAUCUUCUGGAGAAACUCAACACAACUUUUCUUUUGCUAGAGUGACUAAACCCAGAGAUUCACACAUACACCCACAGGAGCUGGAUGCUCGUCACAUGCUCCUCUCAUGCCAGCCUUCGCCUUCUUACCCUUUGCUCUCUCCCUCCAGGAGCUGUCUGUCAAUCUCCAGGGCUUGGAAUGUGCGCUUCAGCUCGUGGAUGUCACCUUGUCUGCUCUGCACGGUGGCUGGACUGGCUGCCUCCUGGGACAUGGCUGCAUACUGUGGGACCAAGCAAGGCAAAGGCAUCAGCAUUGGGACUCCAUGGAAAUGCAACCUUUGGGAAGUCUGUUGUGACAAUGGUCAGGUUGUCCAAGGUCCUUCGGAGGCCCUCGACUUCAAUUUCCAAGUCUUUCUUAAAGGAGUGUUCAUUUUCAUACCUUUCAUGAGAAGGAAGAGAAGAGCGCACCUGUUGUUGGAAGGCCGUGGUUUUUGAAAGGAUUCAUUUUCAUUUAGAGGUUGGAGUCAUGCUCUGUCACUGAGGGUGGAGUGCA
This is a long non-coding RNA of Sapajus apella (tufted capuchin), 4150 nucleotides long. RefSeq lists it as uncharacterized. The record is from RefSeq and is a predicted model, not a curated record. Lineage: Eukaryota; Metazoa; Chordata; Mammalia; Primates; Cebidae. The transcript is spliced from 6 exons.